UACAUGGGGUGCAAGCGUUGCUCGGAAUUAUUGGGCGUAAAGGGCGCGUAGGCGGCUUCAUAAGUCAGAGGUGAAAUCCCUCGGCUCAACUGAGGAACUGCCUUUGAAACUGUGGAGCUUGAGGCCGGGAGGGGGUAGCGGAAUUCCCAGUGUAGCGGUGAAAUGCGUAGAUAUUGGGAGGAACACCAGUGGCGAAGGCGGCUACCUGGACCGGAACUGACACUGAGGAGCGAAAGCGUGGGGAGCAAACAGG
RNAcentral lists this ribosomal RNA (253 nucleotides) under uncultured bacterium. RNAcentral describes it as "partial 16S ribosomal RNA". It matches the Rfam family "Bacterial small subunit ribosomal RNA", at positions 524 to 776 of the family's 1533-position model. The record is from RNAcentral.